CAACCUCAACUCAUAUGGGACUACCCCCUGAAUUUAAGCAUAUUAAUUAGGGGAGGAAAAGAAACUAACAAGGAUUUUCUUAGUAGCGGCGAGCGAAAAGAAAUCAGUUCAGCACUAAGUCACUUUGUCUAUAUGGCAAAUGUGAGAUGCAGUGUACGGAACAUCAACAUUCUAGUAUGAGAAGUUAACGAUUUAAGUCCUUCUUAAAUGAGGCCAUUUACCCAUAGAGGGUGCCAGGCCCGUAUAACGUUAAUGAUUACUAGAUGGUGUUUCCAAAGAGUCGUGUUGCUUGAUAGUGCAGCACUAAGUGGGUGGUAAACUCCAUCUAAAACUAAAUAUAACCAUGAGACCGAUAGUAAACAAGUACCGUGAGGGAAAGUUGAAAAGAACUCUGAAUAGAGAGUUAAAUAGUACGUGAAACUGCUUAGAGGUUAAACCCGAUGAACCUGAAUAUCCGUUAUGGAAAAUUCAUCAUUAGAAUUGUAAUAUUUUAAACAAUAUUAUAAUAAUAGUGUGCAUUUUUUCCAUAUAAGGACAUUGUAAUCUAUUAGCAUAAAUAUUUAUCAUAAAAUUAUGUCUGAUUGCUUAUUUGAAUUAUAUGCUUGGCAUUUUAACAUAAAAUAAAAGAUAUAAAUUUGAUAAAGUGCUGAUAGAUUUAUAUGAUUACAGUGCGUUAAUUUUUCGGAAUUAUAUAAUGGCAUAAUUAUCAUUGAUAUUUGUGGUUAUUAUAUGCAUUUGUAUGAUUAACAAUGCGAAAGAUUCAGGAUACCUUCGGG
Molecule: non-coding RNA, 776 nt
Filed under: Drosophila virilis
Lineage: Eukaryota; Metazoa; Arthropoda; Insecta; Diptera; Drosophilidae
Description: Eukaryotic large subunit ribosomal RNA
Rfam family: Eukaryotic large subunit ribosomal RNA
Source: Rfam by way of RNAcentral